This 253-nucleotide ribosomal RNA is filed under the name uncultured bacterium. Its description in RNAcentral is "partial 16S ribosomal RNA". It matches the Rfam family "Bacterial small subunit ribosomal RNA", at positions 524 to 776 of the family's 1533-position model. The record is from RNAcentral.
UACGAAGGGGGCUAGCGUUGCUCGGAAUUACUGGGCGUAAAGGGCGCGUAGGCGGAUUGACAAGUUGGGGGUGAAAGCCCGGGGCUCAACCUCGGAAUUGCCUUCAAAACUGUCAGUCUAGAGUACGGGAGAGGUGUGUGGAACUCCGAGUGUAGAGGUGAAAUUCGUAGAUAUUCGGAAGAACACCAGUGGCGAAGGCGACACACUGGCCCGUUACUGACGCUGAGGCGCGAAAGCGUGGGGAGCAAACAGG